AUUGAACGCUGGCGGCAUGCCUUACACAUGCAAGUCGAACGGCAGCACGGGGGCAACCCUGGUGGCGAGUGGCGAACGGGUGAGUAAAGCAUCGGAACGUGCCCUGGAGUGGGGGAUAACGUAGCGAAAGUUACGCUAAUACCGCAUAUUCUGUGAGCAGGAAAGCAGGGGAUCGCAAGACCUUGCGCUCUGGGAGCGGCCGAUGUCGGAUUAGCUAGUUGGUGGGGUAAAGGCCUACCAAGGCGACGAUCCGUAGCGGGUCUGAAAGGAUGAUCCGCCACACUGGGACUGAGACACGGCCCAGACUCCUACGGGAGGCAGCAGUGGGGAAUUUUGGACAAUGGGCGGAAGCCUGAUCCAGCCAUGCCGCGUGAGUGAAGAAGGCCUUCGGUUGGUUAAAGUACGUCUUUCGGUCGGGGAAGGAAAGUUAGCACGGGUUAAGUACCUACGUGUAGAUGACGGUACCGAACGUAAGAAG
This 478-nucleotide ribosomal RNA is filed under the name uncultured bacterium. RNAcentral describes it as "bacterial SSU rRNA". It matches the Rfam family "Bacterial small subunit ribosomal RNA", at positions 29 to 490 of the family's 1533-position model. The record is from RNAcentral.